GGUUAAGCGACUAAGCGUACACGGUGGAUGCCCUGGCAGUCAGAGGCGAUGAAGGGCGUGCUAAUCUGCGAUAAGCGCCGGUAAGGUGAUAUGAACCGUUAUAACCGGCGAUACCCGAAUGGGGAAACCCAGUGUGAUUCGUCACACUAUCAUUAACUGAAUCCAUAGGUUAAUGAGGCGAACCGGGGGAACUGAAACAUCUAAGUACCCCGAGGAAAAGAAAUCAACCGAGAUUCCCCCAGUAGCGGCGAGCGAACGGGGAGGAGCCCAGAGCCUGAAUCAGCAUGUGUGUUAGUGGAAGCGUCUGGAAAGGUGCGCGAUACAGGGUGACAGCCCCGUACACAAAAGCGCAUGUGCUGUGAGCUCGAUGAGUAGGGCGGGACACGUGGUAUCCUGUCUGAAUAUGGGGGGACCAUCCUCCAAGGCUAAAUACUCCUGACUGACCGAUAGUGAACCAGUACCGUGAGGGAAAGGCGAAAAGAACCCCGGCGAGGGGAGUGAAAAAGAACCUGAAACCGUGUACGUACAAGCAGUGGGAGCACAGGUUUACCUGUGUGACUGCGUACCUUUUGUAUAAUGGGUCAGCGACUUAUAUUCUGUAGCAAGGUUAACCGUAUAGGGGAGCCGGAGGGAAACCGAGUCUUAACCGGGCGUUAAGUUGCAGGGUAUAGACCCGAAACCCGGUGAUCUAGCCAUGGGCAGGUUGAAGGUUGGGUAACACUAACUGGAGGACCGAACCGACUAAUGUUGAAAAAUUAGCGGAUGACCUGUGGCUGGGGGUGAAAGGCCAAUCAAACCGGGAGAUAGCUGGUUCUCCCCGAAAGCUAUUUAGGUAGCGCCUCGUGAAUUCAUCUCCGGGGGUAGAGCACUGUUUCGGCUAGGGGGCCAUCCCGGCUUACCAACCCGAUGCAAACUGCGAAUACCGGAGAAUGUUAUCACGGGAGACACACGGCGGGUGCUAACGUCCGUCGUGAAGAGGGAAACAACCCAGACCGCCAGCUAAGGUCCCAAAGUCAUGGUUAAGUGGGAAACGAUGUGGGAAGGCCCAGACAGCCAGGAUGUUGGCUUAGAAGCAGCCAUCAUUUAAAGAAAGCGUAAUAGCUCACUGGUCGAGUCGGCCUGCGCGGAAGAUGUAACGGGGCUAAACCAUGCACCGAAGCUGCGGCAGCGAACGUAUCACCCAAGACAACUUUACGGAGUUGACGAUUGACGGAGCGAAGCGACGUCAAAGCGUUCAUUAAAGUCGAGUUGGCUUAGGGAUACGUUCGUUGGGUAGGGGAGCGUUCUGUAAGCCUGUGAAGGUGUGUCGUGAGGCAUGCUGGAGGUAUCAGAAGUGCGAAUGCUGACAUAAGUAACGAUAAAGCGGGUGAAAAGCCCGCUCGCCGGAAGACCAAGGGUUCCUGUCCAACGUUAAUCGGGGCAGGGUGAGUCGACCCCUAAGGCGAGGCCGAAAGGCGUAGUCGAUGGGAAACGGGUUAAUAUUCCCGUACUUGGUGUUACUGCGAAGGGGGGACGGAGAAGGCUAUGUUGGCCGGGCGACGGUUGUCCCGGUUUAAGCGUGUAGGUGUGUGUUCCAGGUAAAUCCGGUUCACUUUAACACUGAGGCGUGACGACGAGGCACUACGGUGCUGAAGCAACAAAUGCCCUGCUUCCAGGAAAAGCCUCUAAGCAUCAGGUAACACGAAAUCGUACCCCAAACCGACACAGGUGGUCAGGUAGAGAAUACCAAGGCGCUUGAGAGAACUCGGGUGAAGGAACUAGGCAAAAUGGUGCCGUAACUUCGGGAGAAGGCACGCUGACACGUAGGUGAAAUGAUUUACUCAUGGAGCUGAAGUCAGUCGAAGAUACCAGCUGGCUGCAACUGUUUAUUAAAAACACAGCACUGUGCAAACACGAAAGUGGACGUAUACGGUGUGACGCCUGCCCGGUGCCGGAAGGUUAAUUGAUGGGGUCAGCGUAAGCGAAGCUCCUGAUCGAAGCCCCGGUAAACGGCGGCCGUAACUAUAACGGUCCUAAGGUAGCGAAAUUCCUUGUCGGGUAAGUUCCGACCUGCACGAAUGGCGUAAUGAUGGCCAGGCUGUCUCCACCCGAGACUCAGUGAAAUUGAACUCGCUGUGAAGAUGCAGUGUACCCGCGGCAAGACGGAAAGACCCCGUGAACCUUUACUAUAGCUUGACACUGAACAUUGAGCCUUGAUGUGUAGGAUAGGUGGGAGGCUUUGAAGUGUGGACGCCAGUCUGCAUGGAGCCGACCUUGAAAUACCACCCUUUAAUGUUUGAUGUUCUAACGUGGACCCGUAAUCCGGGUUGCGGACAGUGUCUGGUGGGUAGUUUGACUGGGGCGGUCUCCUCCUAAAGAGUAACGGAGGAGCACGAAGGUUGGCUAAUCCUGGUCGGACAUCAGGAGGUUAGUGCAAUGGCAUAAGCCAGCUUGACUGCGAGCGUGACGGCGCGAGCAGGUGCGAAAGCAGGUCAUAGUGAUCCGGUGGUUCUGAAUGGAAGGGCCAUCGCUCAACGGAUAAAAGGUACUCCGGGGAUAACAGGCUGAUACCGCCCAAGAGUUCAUAUCGACGGCGGUGUUUGGCACCUCGAUGUCGGCUCAUCACAUCCUGGGGCUGAAGUAGGUCCCAAGGGUAUGGCUGUUCGCCAUUUAAAGUGGUACGCGAGCUGGGUUUAGAACGUCGUGAGACAGUUCGGUCCCUAUCUGCCGUGGGCGCUGGAGAACUGAGGGGGGCUGCUCCUAGUACGAGAGGACCGGAGUGGACGCAUCACUGGUGUUCGGGUUGUCAUGCCAAUGGCACUGCCCGGUAGCUAAAUGCGGAAGAGAUAAGUGCUGAAAGCAUCUAAGCACGAAACUUGCCCCGAGAUGAGUUCUCCCUGAGACUUAGAGUCUCCUGAAGGAACGUUGAAGACGACGACGUUGAUAGGCCGGGUGUGUAAGCGCAGCGAUGCGUUGAGCUAACCGGUACUAAUGAACCGUGAGGCUUAACCUU
Molecule: ribosomal RNA, 2992 nt
Filed under: Salmonella enterica subsp. enterica serovar Typhimurium
Lineage: Bacteria; Pseudomonadati; Pseudomonadota; Gammaproteobacteria; Enterobacterales; Enterobacteriaceae
Description: 23S ribosomal RNA
Rfam family: Bacterial large subunit ribosomal RNA
Source: RNAcentral